CGGAGUGUAGCUCAGCCCGGUAGAGCACUGCUUUCGGGAAGCAGGGGCCGGAGGUUCGAAUCCUCUCACUCCGACCA
RNAcentral lists this transfer RNA (77 nucleotides) under Cellvibrio japonicus. RNAcentral describes it as "tRNA-Pro". It matches the Rfam family "tRNA". Rfam says of the family: Transfer RNA (tRNA) molecules are approximately 80 nucleotides in length. Their secondary structure includes four short double-helical elements and three loops (D, anti-codon, and T loops). The record is from RNAcentral. Lineage: Bacteria; Pseudomonadati; Pseudomonadota; Gammaproteobacteria; Cellvibrionales; Cellvibrionaceae. RNAcentral also lists the same sequence under 2 other names.